ACUGGUAUGCGCUCUUGAGCA
RNAcentral lists this non-coding RNA (21 nucleotides) under Arabidopsis thaliana (thale cress). The record is from RNAcentral. Lineage: Eukaryota; Viridiplantae; Streptophyta; Magnoliopsida; Brassicales; Brassicaceae.